This 477-nucleotide ribosomal RNA is filed under the name uncultured bacterium. Its description in RNAcentral is "partial 16S ribosomal RNA". It matches the Rfam family "Bacterial small subunit ribosomal RNA", at positions 28 to 507 of the family's 1533-position model. The record is from RNAcentral.
GAUUAACGCUGGCGGCGUGCAUAACACAUGCAAGUCGAACGAUGAAACUUAAAUGAUUUCUUCGGAAUGAACUUAAGUGGAUUAGUGGCGGACGGGUGAGUAACGCGUGAGUAACCUGCCUUACACAAGGGGAUAGCCGUUGGAAACGACGAAUAAUACCCUAUGAAACUAUCACUUCGCAUGAAGCGAUAGUCAAAGUGUUAGCGGUGUAAGAUGGACUUGCGUCUGAUUAGCUAGUUGGUGAGAAAAAAGCCCACCAAGGCAACGAUCAGUAGCCGGCUUGAGAGAGUGGACGGCCACAUUGGGACUGAGACACGGCCCAGACUCCUACGGGAGGCAGCAGUGGGGAAUUUUGCACAAUGGGGGAAACCCUGAUGCAGCGACGCCGCGUGAUUUAGAAGGCCUUCGGGUUGUAAAAAACUUUUGUAUAGGAAGAAAAUGACAGUACUAUACGAAUAAGGUCCGGCUAAUUACGUG